This 235-nucleotide ribosomal RNA is filed under the name uncultured Candida. RNAcentral's name for it is "partial 26S ribosomal RNA". It matches the Rfam family "Eukaryotic large subunit ribosomal RNA", at positions 38 to 282 of the family's 3401-position model. Lineage: Eukaryota; Fungi; Ascomycota; Saccharomycetes; Saccharomycetales. The record is from RNAcentral.
GCAUAUCAAUAAGCGCGGAGGAAAAGAAACCAACCGGGAUUGCCUCAGUAACGGCGAGUGAAGCGGCAAAAGCUCAAAUUUGAAAUCCUUCGGGAGUUGUAAUUUGUAGAGGGGUGCCUUUGGGGCGGCAUUGUCUAUGUUCCUUGGAACAGGACGUCACAGAGGGUGAGAAUCCCGUGCGAUGAUGCCUCAACCAGUACAAGACCCUCUCGACGAGUCGAGUUGUUUGGGAAUA